UGCGUAGGCGGCGCUAUUAGUCAGAGGUGAAAUCUUGCGGCUUAACCGUAAAAUUGCCUUUGAAACUGUAGCGCUUGAAUCACGUUGAGGUCAGCGGAAUGUGACAUGUAGCGGUGAAAUGCAUAGAUAUGUCAUAGAACACCAAUUGCGUAGGCAGCUGGCUAGGCGUGUAUUGACGCUGAGGCACGAAAGCGUGGGGAGCGAACAGGAUUAGAUACCCUGGUAGUCC
This 229-nucleotide ribosomal RNA is filed under the name uncultured bacterium. RNAcentral's name for it is "partial 16S ribosomal RNA". It matches the Rfam family "Bacterial small subunit ribosomal RNA", at positions 568 to 796 of the family's 1533-position model. The record is from RNAcentral.